This 260-nucleotide ribosomal RNA is filed under the name Phoma sp. Its description in RNAcentral is "partial small subunit ribosomal RNA". It matches the Rfam family "Eukaryotic small subunit ribosomal RNA", at positions 1436 to 1695 of the family's 1831-position model. Lineage: Eukaryota; Fungi; Ascomycota; Dothideomycetes; Pleosporales; Didymellaceae. The record is from RNAcentral.
GAUGGAAGUUUGAGGCAAUAACAGGUCUGUGAUGCCCUUAAAUGUUCUGGGCCGCACGCGCGCUACACUGACAGAGCCAACGAGUUAUUCACCUUGGCCGGAAGGUCUGGGUAAUCUUGUUAAACUCUGUCGUGCUGGGGAUAGAGCAUUGCAAUUAUUGCUCUUCAACGAGGAAUGCCUAGUAAGCGCAUGUCAUCAGCAUGCGUUGAUUACGUCCCUGCCCUUUGUACACACCGCCCGUCGCUACUACCGAUUGAAUG